CCUACGGGUGGCAGCAGUGAGGAAUAUUGGUCAAUGGGCGCGAGCCUGAACCAGCCAAGUCGCGUGAGGGAAGACGGUCCUAUGGAUUUUAAACCUCUUUUGUCGGGGAGCAAAAGACGCCACGCGUGGCGUUCCGAGAGUACCCGAAGAAAAAGCAUCGGCUAACUCCGUGCCAGCAGCCGCGGUAAUACGGAGGAUGCGAGCUUUAUCCGGAUUUAUUGGGUUUAAAUGGUGCGCAGGCGGAAGAUCAAGUCAGCGGUAAAAUUGAGAGGCCAAAACGCUUAGAGCCGUUGAAACUGGUUUUCUUGAGAGAGCGAGAAGUAUGCGGAAUGCGUGGUGUAGCGGUGAAAUGCAUAGAUAUAACGCAGAACUCCGAUUGCGAAGGCAGCAUACCGGCGCUCAACUGACGAUCAUGCACGAAAGUGUGGGUAUCGAACAGGAUUAGAUACCCGGGUAGUC
Molecule: ribosomal RNA, 459 nt
Filed under: uncultured bacterium
Lineage: Bacteria
Description: partial 16S ribosomal RNA
Rfam family: Bacterial small subunit ribosomal RNA
Source: RNAcentral